UGAGCGGUAGCAUAAUGGUAAUGCGUCCGGCUGUUAACCGGAGGAUUGUAGGUUCGAGUCCUACCCGCUCAG
This 72-nucleotide transfer RNA is filed under the name Candidatus Dojkabacteria bacterium. Its description in RNAcentral is "tRNA-Asn". It matches the Rfam family "tRNA". Rfam says of the family: Transfer RNA (tRNA) molecules are approximately 80 nucleotides in length. Their secondary structure includes four short double-helical elements and three loops (D, anti-codon, and T loops). The record is from RNAcentral.